Haplochromis burtoni (Burton's mouthbrooder) is the source of this 2759-nucleotide long non-coding RNA. RefSeq lists it as uncharacterized. The transcript is spliced from 4 exons. The record is from RefSeq and is a predicted model, not a curated record. Lineage: Eukaryota; Metazoa; Chordata; Actinopteri; Cichliformes; Cichlidae.
UCAGCGGUCAUGGAGAGUCUCCAUCCAGCUGGAUCACUGUCACAGGGGAACACACCACCACACCUCCACCUACAUCCACACCUCCACCUACAUCCACACCUCCUCUUGGUUCCACCUCCAUCACUCUUCCUCCAUCACUCUCUCCUGCUGUUCUCUCUGUGUUGUCAUGUGUUGGAUCAGCCUGUGUUGCGGUUCUACUGGUGUUACUGGUUCUGCUGGUAAGACGAUGUGUUCACAGGAAACCUGCAGAAGGACAAGAAAACACUUUAGAAAAUGAAGUCAUUGAUGACAUCAUAUACAGUGAGAUCAAAACAUCACACUGUCCGCAGCAGCCAAUCAGACAAAGCAGAGACUUUAACCGAGAGCCCAACGUUGUCUACUCUUCAAUGAAGUAGUCCACGGGUCCAACCGCUGGUGUCUAACUGGUCCCCCAGCACCACAGACACAGGAUAUGUACAUGCUAAAUAGAUUUGUAUGCAGAUUUGUGUGUAUUUUGCCUAAUGUCUUAUUUUUUAUCUGCGUUUUUAAAGUGUAUUUUGCUGCAAAAUCAACAGUAUGGUUACAAAUGUUUUUAAGUCCUCAGUAAGAUCACUGUUAUUUAUAUUUUAUUCAUGUUUGUUACAUCUUGAUCUUGUUGCUGAAGUAGCAAUUUAGUUCCUCUUCAAGAUUAAUAAAUGUUUGUUCUCACUUGUUUACCAUGUGUGUUUCUGUGGGUUUUGCCGAGGUAUCAGAUGGAAAAUCUGACUUGAGUUUUCUUUGGCUAACUGACACACCUCUAUUCAGUGCAGAAAAGUGUGAGACUAAAGACAGCAGAAGUGUCACUCGGUAGUUUCAAAUGACACUGAAAAGCUUCAGUGUGUUUGAAACUGAUAUCUGACAUUUUGCAGCUGUACUUUGAAAAUAUGUUGGUAUAGAUGUGACCCGUGGGAGGUACUAUUUAAUUAGUAAAUGAGCCUCAGGAAUAUAGUCAGUUCACAAGCUUUUAUGCUGAUACAAAACUUUCUAUACAUGUAACAGUAGCACCAAACAAACAAUUAAAAGAUCUACUUUAUCAACUACAAAAUGAACAAUUGUAUGAGGAAGACCAGAUAAGCGCUGUGGGGAAUAUAUUAAAAACUAUUGCCAUGUGUCAUCCUUUGAAUGCCUUCGUUUUUCCAAGGGUCCCGUUCAGCCUUUCUCUGUCCUUGCUGGAUCCAUCCAGCCUGCAGCACUGUCCUGGGUCUGUGACCCAGUGUUUUCUGUUUCGUAUUAUUAGUUUUUGAUUUCACAAUGUAUCUUUUUUUCAUUUUUAGUUUGGUUUCUCUGUUCCCUCUGACAUUAAAGUCUGUACAAUGUCUCUGUGCAUUUCCUGGUUUAUUCUGAAGGUCCGUGUCUCAUGUGAGUGUAUUCUGUUUCGCUUCCUUGUCUCAUCUUCCCCAAUCAGUCCCAGCUGUGUUGCCACCUGUUCCUUGUUCUCUCUUGUGCCUGCCUGUGUAUUUAUAGUGUGUGUCAACUUGGGGUCGUCGCUGGUUCGUCUGCAUCAUUUCCUCGCAUCCUCCUGUGUCUCUCUGUAAAGGUAUCAGGUCUGUGGUUGUUAGCUUACCCAAGGUUGUCUUAGGUUCUGCACUUCCCAUCACCUCUGCUGUUUGUAUCUUCAGCUGCACAAUAAAGCUCACUCAUAUCAGAAGCUGCCUGCAUCCUGGGUCCUUAUUAAAUUGCACAUGGCUUGCCCCACGAGCUGUGACAGUUCAUUAAAAUGCAAGUUGAUAUGACCAUUGAUCAAUGGCCAUGUGUACCAUUUACAGAGAGUUAGGGAAUGGCUGCAGUCACAUCAUUGCAAGAUGGUGAAAGAUGUAGUCUACUGGUAAGAUAGUCAACAAACUGAUGGUCCACUCCUGCUCCCUGCAGCUUCCCUCUUAGCACUGCGGGUUGGAUUGUGUUGAAGGCACUGGAGAAAUAAAAGAACAUGACUCUCACAGUGCACCCGGUGCUCUCCAGAUAAGAAAAGGCCCAAUGCCGCAGGUAGAUGACAGCAUCAUCUACCCCAAUGUUUGGCUGGUAGACAAACUGCAGUGGGUUUUGGUGUAUCACUCCUGAUGAAUGGCAUGGGGGGAGGAGGCAGUAGAGUCGUUGAAAGAAAAGGAAAAAGAGGGCAGGUGAGUUGCAUCUGGUAUCCCCGGUGCUAUGGGGGGUUGCAGAGAGGUGUGAAGAGCUCUGGUGGAUGGGGAGGGAAGGGCUUUCCUGGUCAAUACAGUGUUAUCCACACAGAAGCUGAUAUAGUCUGUUAUGCAGGUUGUUAGGCUGGCUGGAUGGGGGAGUGGCGUGUGCCUGGCGGCACUCUCGAUGGAGAACAAUGAAGACAAGAUACUUAAAACAGAUCGUGAGAGCAGCUGAGAAGAUCAUUGGAGCUCCUCUUCCCUCCAUCACGGAUACUUAUAGCACCUGUUCCAUCGGCAAAGCCACCAGCAUUGUGGAGGACCCCACACACAGUUUCUUCCCCCAAGCCGUCAGAUUCCUGAACACUCAGUGACUGGAAUGACACACACACUCGCACACCUCCAUACUCAUGACUACCAAGCACUUAACUGCAGUCUCUCACUCUCAUACACACACACACAGGGAGAGAGAGAGACUAAGUUACUUUUGCACCAUACUCAGCAUUUUGCACAUAUCCAUUGCAUCUUGUGAUUCUAUCAUCCUGUUCCAUCUAGUGUUGCUGUGGACGGGCUGUGAGUACUCAGACUGCUACAGAACGCAACAUGGAGGCCUGUUGACUUUUU